AAAAAGGGAUUUCUUCGGAUCCGAAUUAAGUUACAAAAUCAAAAGAGGAUUGCCUCGAACCCGAAAUAGAAUUGAAAAGAAAAUCAAGUUCACAUACGAACUCAAAUCCGAAUCAAGUUCACAUACGAACCUAAAUCCAAACCCAAAGUCCAAAUAAAAAACCCAAAACCAAAUACAGUCCACAAAUAAAUCCAAACCCAAAGUCCAAAUAAAAAACCCAAAACCAAAUACAGUCUACAAAUAAAUCCAAACCCAAAGUCCAAAUAAAAAACCCAAAAGCAAAUACAGUCCACUAAUAAACCCAAACCCAAAAUCCAAAUCAAAUCCAAACCCAAACCCAAAUCAAGUCCACAUCCAAACCUAACCCAAACCAAGUCCACAUAAAGAACCCAAACCCAUUCUACAAAUAAAAUCCAAACCCAACCCAAACCAAGUCUAUAAAUAAAACCAAAAUCCAAACCGAAACCCGAACCCAAAACCAAAACCCAAACCCAAUUCAAAUCAAGUCCACAAUCCAAAUCCAAAACCCAAAUCCAACUUCCAACUUAGGCUCAUGAACCUAAACCAUACCUAAGUUCGUGAACCAAAUCCCAAAUCCUAUACCCAAAUUCAUGAAUCAAGUCUCAUGAACCAAAACUCAUAAACGAAGUUCAUGAACCAUAAACCAUAUCCAUGAACCUUAUCCAAGUUCGUGAACCAAACACUACGGAUCAUAAUCCAAGUUCAUGAAUCAAGGCCCAUGAACCAAAAUAAACCAAGUUCAUAAACCAUGAACCAAGUCCAUGAACCAUAUCCAAGUUUAUGAACUAAAUCUCAUAUACCCAACUUCGUAAACCAUAAACCAAGUUCAUGAAUCAUGAAUCAAGUCCAUAAACCAAGAUUCAUGAGCCAAGUUCAUAAACCUCACUCAUAAACUAAACCCAAGUUCAUAAACCAUAUUAUCCAAUAUACCCAACUUCAUAAACCAUAAACCAAGUUCAUGAAUUAUGAAUCAAGUCCAUAAAUCAAGAUUCAUAUACCAAACCUCAUGCACCAUAUCC
RNAcentral lists this long non-coding RNA (1040 nucleotides) under Ananas comosus (pineapple). RNAcentral's name for it is "long non-coding RNA (ACOM_LNC035587)". The record is from RNAcentral. Lineage: Eukaryota; Viridiplantae; Streptophyta; Magnoliopsida; Poales; Bromeliaceae.